AUGGCCGACGCGGGUGAACGUGCAGUAACUGUUCUUAUCAGGUUAAUAUCUGAUACUUGUCCUACUUGGACACUAUAGGUAUUAAACUUACUUUUUUUUCUUUGCAAUUUGGAGGAAUGCGUGAAGCCUGCUUCACCUCUGCCGCUUGUCGGCCAGGUAUUGCACUAUCUCCACGGGUAUUGCACUAUCG
Small nuclear RNA from Dermacentor albipictus, 190 nucleotides. RefSeq annotates it as U2 spliceosomal RNA. Lineage: Eukaryota; Metazoa; Arthropoda; Arachnida; Ixodida; Ixodidae. The record is from RefSeq and is a predicted model, not a curated record.